This 253-nucleotide ribosomal RNA is filed under the name uncultured bacterium. RNAcentral describes it as "partial 16S ribosomal RNA". It matches the Rfam family "Bacterial small subunit ribosomal RNA", at positions 524 to 776 of the family's 1533-position model. The record is from RNAcentral.
UACGUAGGGGGCAAGCGUUGUCCGGAAUCAUUGGGCGUAAAGAGCGUGUAGGCGGCCCGGUAAGUCCGCUGUGAAAGUCCAGGGCUCAACCCUGGGAUGCGGGUGGAUACUGCCGGGCUCGAGUCCGGAAGAGGCGAGUGGAAUUCCCGGUGUAGCGGUGAAAUGCGCAGAUAUCGGGAGGAACACCAAUGGCGAAGGCAGCUCGCUGGGACGUGACUGACGCUGAGACGCGAAAGCGUGGGGAGCAAACAGG